UCCUCCAUGUAUAUCUCACUAGGUCAGGGUAUUUAAGCCUCCUCCAUGUAUAUAUCACUAGGUCAGGGGUAUUUAAGCCUCCUCCAUGUAUAUAUCACUAGGUCAGGGGUAUUUAAGCCUCCUCCAUGUAUAUCUCACUAGGUCAGGGGUAUUUAAGCCUCCUCCAUGUAUAUCUCACUAGGUCAGGGUAUUUAAGCCUCCAUGUAUAUCUCACUAGGUCAGGGUAUUUAAGCCUCCAUGUAUAUCUCACUAGGUCAGGGGUAUUUAAGCCUCCAUGUCUAUCUAACUAGGUCAGGGGUAUUUAAGCCUCCUCCAUGUAUAUCUCACUAGGUCAGGGUAUUUAAGCCUCCAUGUAUAUCUCACUAGGUCAGGGGUAUUUAAGCCUCCUCCAUAUAUAUCUCACUAGGUCAGGGUAUUUAAGCCUCCAUGU
This is a long non-coding RNA of Oncorhynchus tshawytscha (Chinook salmon), 430 nucleotides long. Lineage: Eukaryota; Metazoa; Chordata; Actinopteri; Salmoniformes; Salmonidae. The record is from Ensembl.